GGAUCGAAUUGUUGGUCGUGCCUCGGUACGCACUGGCAUUAUCGGUUCCUACCUUCUGAAGAACCGCGAUGUCAUUAAUUUGGUGUCGUGGGGAAUCAGGACUGUUACUUUGAAAAUUAGAGUGUUUAAAGCAGGCUUACGCUUGAAUACAUUAGCAUGGAAUAAUAAAAUAGGACGAUGGUUCUAUUUUGUUGGUUUUAGGACCACGUAAUGAUUAAUAGGGAUAGUUGGG
RNAcentral lists this ribosomal RNA (232 nucleotides) under uncultured Glomus. RNAcentral's name for it is "partial 18S ribosomal RNA". The stretch from base 46 to 232 matches the Rfam family "Eukaryotic small subunit ribosomal RNA", at positions 693 to 886 of the family's 1831-position model. The record is from RNAcentral. Lineage: Eukaryota; Fungi; Glomeromycota; Glomeromycetes; Glomerales; Glomeraceae.